UACGGAGGGGGCUAGCGUUGUUCGGAAUUACUGGGCGUAAAGCGCGCGUAGGCGGACCUGCAAGUUGGGGGUGAAAGCCCGGGGCUCAACCUCGGAAUUGCCUUCAAUACUGGCUGUCUUGAGUGUGAGAGAGGUGUGUGGAACUCCGAGUGUAGAGGUGAAAUUCGUAGAUAUUCGGAAGAACACCAGUGGCGAAGGCGACACACUGGCUCACUACUGACGCUGAGGCGCGAAAGCGUGGGGAGCAAACAGG
This 253-nucleotide ribosomal RNA is filed under the name uncultured bacterium. RNAcentral's name for it is "partial 16S ribosomal RNA". It matches the Rfam family "Bacterial small subunit ribosomal RNA", at positions 524 to 776 of the family's 1533-position model. The record is from RNAcentral.